UAAAAUGGCUGAGUAAGCAUUAGACUGUAAAUCUAAAGACAGAGGUUUGAGUCCUCUUUUUACCA
This 65-nucleotide transfer RNA is filed under the name Urotrichus talpoides (Japanese shrew mole). RNAcentral describes it as "tRNA-Tyr". It matches the Rfam family "tRNA". From Rfam's summary of the family: Transfer RNA (tRNA) molecules are approximately 80 nucleotides in length. The record is from RNAcentral. Lineage: Eukaryota; Metazoa; Chordata; Mammalia; Eulipotyphla; Talpidae.